RNAcentral lists this ribosomal RNA (2157 nucleotides) under human gut metagenome. RNAcentral's name for it is "bacterial LSU rRNA". It matches the Rfam family "Bacterial large subunit ribosomal RNA", at positions 3 to 2255 of the family's 2925-position model. The record is from RNAcentral.
UCAAGCUACAAAGAGCACAAGGGGAAUGCCUUGGCACCGAGAGCCGAAGAAGGACGUGACUAACUGCGAUAAGCUGCGGGGAGCCGUAAGUAGGCUUUGAUCCGCAGAUUUCCGAAUGGAGCAAUCCGGCAAGAGGAAAGUCUUGUCAUCAUAUACUGAAUACAUAGGUAUAUGAGGGGAACCGCCUGAACUGAAACAUCUAAGUAGGGCGAGGAAGAGAAAUCAACUGAGAUUCCGUAAGUAGUGGCGAGCGAACGCGGAAGAGGCCAAACCGAGAGUAGUAAUACUUUCGGGGUUCGGACAGAAUACGGUAUUGUAAAGGUUUAGUGGAAUGGAAUGGGAAGUCCAACCGAAGAAGGUGAGAGUCCUGUACACGAAAAGCCUGAGCAGCCAUCUGUAUCCAGAGUACCGCCGGACACGUGAAACCCGGUGGGAAUACGGGGGGACCAUCCUCCAAGCCUAAAUACUACUCGGUGACCGAUAGUGAAGAAGUACUGUGAAGGAAAGGUGAAAAGUACCCCUGACGGGGAGUGAAAAAGAACCUGAAACCUUGUGUUUACAAGCACCGAAAGCUCAUCAAAGAGCGAUCGGGUACCUUUUGUAGAAUGGUCCGGCGAGUGAAUGUAACCGGCGAGGUUAAGCACUUAAGGUGUGAAGCCGCAGCGAGAGCAAGUCUGAAUAGGGCGUAUGAAGUCGGUUGUAUUCGACCCGAAACCGGGUGACCUACCCAUGGUCAGGUUGAAGUAAAGGUAAAACUUUAUGGAGGACCGAACCGACUCCCGUUGAAAUGGUAGCGGAUGAACUGUGGGUAGCGGAGAAAUUCCAAUCGAACCCGGAGAUAGCUGGUUCUCUCCGAAAUAGCUUUAGGGCUAGCCUUGAAAUAGAUUACCGGAGGUAAAGCACUGAAUUGGCUAGGGGCCGAGAGGUUACUGAACCUUAUCAAACUAAGAAUGCCGGAUAAUCGUUUUUCAGGAGUCAGACAGUGGGAGAUAAGUUUCAUUGUCAAAAGGGAAACAGCCCAGACCCACAGCUAAGGUCCCCAAGUAUAGUUAAGUGGAAAAGGAUGUGGAAUUGCACAGACAACCAGGAUGUUGGCUUAGAAGCAGCCACUCAUUAAAAGAGUGCGUAAUAGCUCACUGGUCGAGUGACUCUGCGCCGAAAAUUUAACGGGGCUAAACUAUACACCGAAGCUUGGGAUACAUCUAAUGUAUGGUAGGAGAGCGUUCUGUAUGGGGAGAAGUCGUAGCGAAAGCGGCGGUGGACUAUACAGAAGUGAGAAUGCCGGAAUAAGUAGCGAGAAUUAAGUGAGAAUCUUAAUGGCCGAAAGUCUAAGGUUUUUGGAGGAAGGUUCGUCCGCUCCAAGUAAGUCGGGAGCUAAGGUCAGGCCGAAAGGCGUAGCCGAUGCACAUACGGUUGAUAUUCCGUAACCAUCUGUAAUUUAAGCAAAGGGACACUUCAAAAGGGUGUGACCCGGGCGUUGGUUGACCCGGGCGUAAGGGACCGAAAUUAGAGUAGGGAAGCACACUUAGCUGAAGGCGAGAAAAGCUUUGCGUAUAGAAGCAGAUGCCCGUACCGCAAACCGACACAGGUGGACAGGAAGAGAAUUCUAAGGCCAGCGGGAGAAGGGUAGUUAAGGAACUCGGCAAAUUGACUCCGUAACUUCGGAAUAAGGAGUGCUCGAAAGAGCCGCAGAGAAUAGGCCCAGGCGACUGUUUAGCAAAAACACAGGUCUCUGCCAAAUCGAAAGAUGAAGUAUAGGGGCUGACACCUGCCCGGUGCCGGAAGGUUAAGAGGAGGAGUGAGAGCUCCGAAUUGAAGCCCCGGUAAACGGCGGCCGUAACUAUAACGGUCCUAAGGUAGCGAAAUUCCUUGUCGGGUAAGUUCCGACCCGCACGAAUGGUGUAACGAUCUGGGCACUGUCUCAACUACCCACCCGGCGAAAUUGUAGUACCGGUGAAGAUGCCGGUUACCUGCGGCAAGACGGAAAGACCCCAUGGAGCUUUACUGUAGCCUGAUAUUGGGUUUCGGAAAUCUAUGUACAGGAUAGGCGGGAGACUUGGAAACAUGAGCGUCAGCUUGUGUGGAGUCGAUGUUGGGAUACCGCCCUUAGGUUUCUGGAAUUCUAACCUGCGGCCGUGAAUCCGGUCGGGGGACAUU